RNAcentral lists this ribosomal RNA (460 nucleotides) under uncultured bacterium. RNAcentral describes it as "partial 16S ribosomal RNA". It matches the Rfam family "Bacterial small subunit ribosomal RNA", at positions 338 to 795 of the family's 1533-position model. The record is from RNAcentral.
CCUACGGGAGGCAGCAGUGAGGAAUAUUGGUCAAUGGACGCGAGUCUGAACCAGCCAUGUCGCGUGAAGGAUGACUGCCCUAUGAGUUGUAAACUUCUUUUAUAUGGGGAUAAACUCUUCCACGUGUGGGCUUUUGUAAGUACCGUAUGAAUAAGGAUCGGCUAACUCCGUGCCAGCAGCCGCGGUAAUACGGAGGAUUCAAGCGUUAUCCGGAUUUAUUGGGUUUAAAGGGUGCGUAGGCGGUUGGAUAAGUCAGUUGUGAAAGUUCGCGGCUCAACCGGGGAAUUGCAUUUGAUACUGGCAGUCUAGAGAACAGGUGAGGUAGGCGGAAUGUGUGGUGUAGCGGUGAAAUGCUUAGAGAUCAUGAAGAACGCCGAUUGCGAAGGCAGCUUACCGGACUGCAACUGACGUUGAGGCACGAAAGCGUGGGGAGCAAACAGGAUUAGAUACCCCAGUAGUC